Molecule: ribosomal RNA, 322 nt
Filed under: uncultured eukaryote
Lineage: Eukaryota
Description: partial 18S ribosomal RNA
Rfam family: Eukaryotic small subunit ribosomal RNA
Source: RNAcentral
CCCUUAGAUGUUCUGGGCCGCACGCGUGCUGCACUGAGUGGAUCAGCGGGUCAGGUUGCGCGAAAGUGUUUCCUAAUCUUGAAAUCCGCUCGUGAUGGGGAUUGACGGUUGCAAUUUUCCGUCAUGAACGAGGAAUACCUUGUAAGCGCGGGUCAUCAUCCCGCGCUGAAUACGUCCCUGCCCUUUGUACACACCGCCCGUCGCUCCUACCGAUUGAGUGGUCCGGUGAGGCUUUGGGAUCUGAGCGGAAAGAGCGUUUCGCUGUUUCUGCUCGGAAAACUCAGUCGAACCUUAUCAUUUAGAGGAAGGAGACGUCGUAACA